Molecule: non-coding RNA, 30 nt
Filed under: Mus musculus (house mouse)
Lineage: Eukaryota; Metazoa; Chordata; Mammalia; Rodentia; Muridae
Source: RNAcentral
UGCCACCCUCAAUGCUACAGGAUGUUUAUA